Molecule: non-coding RNA, 406 nt
Organism: Phoenix dactylifera (date palm)
Lineage: Eukaryota; Viridiplantae; Streptophyta; Magnoliopsida; Arecales; Arecaceae
Source: RefSeq, a predicted model, not a curated record
CAUUCAAGAUUUGAACCAUUAGAAGUUUCUUACUAGUUUCUGCUGUUUAGUCAUUUUAACAUACAAUUAUGUUUUUGAACUUUUUUUUUUUAACAAUUACAGAAACCCGAAUCUUGGAGGCUCGCUUGUCAAACUAUUGUAGGAAAUAAGGAAAAUGCUGGGAAGGUUACCGUUCAGCGGAUGCCCCAGUGGAAGAAGUGAUCUGCAAUUCGUUUCAAAUUUCGUAAGGUGAUUAUUCCACAACUUUUGAGUCUGUAAUAUCCUCCUGGAGUUUGUAACAUCAAAUUUUGUGGAGAAAUAUAAAUUGAUAUCCCAUUGAGCAUCUGGUCUUAAAUAGAAGAUUGUAUUUAAGAAAAAGAAUUCGUCAUUGAUAGAAUGAGAAUCACACAGCAAACUUGCUGAACAA